RNAcentral lists this ribosomal RNA (442 nucleotides) under Selenomonas sp. oral taxon E39. RNAcentral's name for it is "bacterial SSU rRNA". It matches the Rfam family "Bacterial small subunit ribosomal RNA", at positions 28 to 447 of the family's 1533-position model. The record is from RNAcentral. Lineage: Bacteria; Bacillati; Bacillota; Negativicutes; Selenomonadales; Selenomonadaceae.
GACGAACGCUGGCGGCGUGCUUAACACAUGCAAGUCGAACGGAGCGAAUGAAAGCUUGCUUUUAUAAGCUUAGUGGCAAACGGGUGAGUAACACGUAGGCAACCUGCCGACAGGAUGGGGACAACAUUCCGAAAGGAAUGCUAAUACCGAAUGAAGUCGAGGGAGGGCAUCCUCCUCCGAUGAAAGAUGGCCUCUAUAUAUAAGCUAUCACCUGUCGAUGGGCCUGCGUCUGAUUAGCUGGUAGGUGAGGUAACGGCUCACCUAGGCGACGAUCAGUAGCCGGUCUGAGAGGAUGAACGGCCACAUUGGGACUGAGACACGGCCCAGACUCCUACGGGAGGCAGCAGUGGGGAAUCUUCCGCAAUGGGCGCAAGCCUGACGGAGCAAACGCCGCGUGAGUGAAGAAGGUUCUUCGGAUCGUAAAGCUCUGUUGAUGGGGACG